This 468-nucleotide ribosomal RNA is filed under the name uncultured bacterium. RNAcentral describes it as "partial 16S ribosomal RNA". It matches the Rfam family "Bacterial small subunit ribosomal RNA", at positions 28 to 507 of the family's 1533-position model. The record is from RNAcentral.
GACGAACGCUGGCGGCGUGCUUAACACAUGCAAGUCGAACGGAAAGGCCCUGCUUUUGUGGGGUGCUCGAGUGGCGAACGGGUGAGUAACACGUGAGUAACCUGCCCUUGACUUUGGGAUAACUUCAGGAAACUGGGGCUAAUACCGGAUAGGAGCUCCUGCUGCAUGGUGGGGGUUGGAAAGUUUCGGCGGUUGGGGAUGGGCUCGCGGCUUAUCAGCUUGUUGGUGGGGUAGUGGCUUACCAAGGCUUUGACGGGUAGCCGGCCUGAGAGGGUGACCGGCCACAUUGGGACUGAGAUACGGCCCAGACUCCUACGGGAGGCAGCAGUGGGGAAUAUUGCAUAAUGGGCGGAAGCCUGAUGCAGCAACGCCGCGUGCGUGAUGACGGCCUUCGGGUUGUAAACCGCUUUCGCCUGUGACGAAGCGUGAGUGACGGUAAUGGGUAAAGAAGCACCGGCUAACUACGUG